This 719-nucleotide ribosomal RNA is filed under the name Pseudomonas aeruginosa. RNAcentral describes it as "bacterial SSU rRNA". It matches the Rfam family "Bacterial small subunit ribosomal RNA", at positions 95 to 811 of the family's 1533-position model. Lineage: Bacteria; Pseudomonadati; Pseudomonadota; Gammaproteobacteria; Pseudomonadales; Pseudomonadaceae. The record is from RNAcentral.
GCGGCGGACGGGUGAGUAAUGCCUAGGAAUCUGCCUGGUAGUGGGGGAUAACGUCCGGAAACGGGCGCUAAUACCGCAUACGUCCUGAGGGAGAAAGUGGGGGAUCUUCGGACCUCACGCUAUCAGAUGAGCCUAGGUCGGAUUAGCUAGUUGGUGGGGUAAAGGCCUACCAAGGCGACGAUCCGUAACUGGUCUGAGAGGAUGAUCAGUCACACUGGAACUGAGACACGGUCCAGACUCCUACGGGAGGCAGCAGUGGGGAAUAUUGGACAAUGGGCGAAAGCCUGAUCCAGCCAUGCCGCGUGUGUGAAGAAGGUCUUCGGAUUGUAAAGCACUUUAAGUUGGGAGGAAGGGCAGUAAGUUAAUACCUUGCUGUUUUGACGUUACCAACAGAAUAAGCACCGGCUAACUUCGUGCCAGCAGCCGCGGUAAUACGAAGGGUGCAAGCGUUAAUCGGAAUUACUGGGCGUAAAGCGCGCGUAGGUGGUUCAGCAAGUUGGAUGUGAAAUCCCCGGGCUCAACCUGGGAACUGCAUCCAAAACUACUGAGCUAGAGUACGGUAGAGGGUGGUGGAAUUUCCUGUGUAGCGGUGAAAUGCGUAGAUAUAGGAAGGAACACCAGUGGCGAAGGCGACCACCUGGACUGAUACUGACACUGAGGUGCGAAAGCGUGGGGAGCAACAGGAUUAGAUACCCUGGUAGUCCACGCCGUAAACGAUG